GGAGAAAUGGAUCUUUGUAAAGGACAAGGAAGUACCAUCAAGACUCUGACAGCCUGGUCCCUCCCACAGGAGACACAACCUUUCUCAUGAUACUUCAUGGGUUCAGUUACGGCCAGCUGAAGCUGAGACACAUUUGCAUGGUUGGCACAUAAACUUGGCUUGCCGCUCUCUGUGGAGACCACAGUCUGAUUGUGGAUAUCCCCUUCUGUCCAUGGAUGUCACCAUAGGUGUAAUCUAGUCACAAGGACAGAAUGUUUACAACGGUUUCUGUUUCA
This 275-nucleotide long non-coding RNA is filed under the name Mustela putorius furo (domestic ferret). RNAcentral's name for it is "lncRNA (ENSMPUG00000029940.1)". Lineage: Eukaryota; Metazoa; Chordata; Mammalia; Carnivora; Mustelidae. The record is from RNAcentral.